Molecule: ribosomal RNA, 301 nt
Filed under: uncultured bacterium
Lineage: Bacteria
Description: partial 16S ribosomal RNA
Rfam family: Bacterial small subunit ribosomal RNA
Source: RNAcentral
CAGCAGCCGCGGUAAUACGAAGGGGGCUAGCGUUGUUCGGAUUUACUGGGCGUAAAGGGUGCGUAGGCGGAUUGUUAAGUCAGGGGUGAAAUCCCGAGGCUCAACCUCGGAACUGCCUUUGAUACUGGCGAUCUUGAGUCCGGGAGAGGUGAGUGGAACUGCGAGUGUAGAGGUGAAAUUCGUAGAUAUUCGCAAGAACACCGGUGGCGAAGGCGGCUCACUGGCCCGGAACUGACGCUGAGGCACGAAAGCGUGGGGAGCAAACAGGAUUAGAUACCCCAGUAGUCCCUGUCUCUUAUAC